Molecule: long non-coding RNA, 1487 nt
Filed under: Monodelphis domestica (gray short-tailed opossum)
Lineage: Eukaryota; Metazoa; Chordata; Mammalia; Didelphimorphia; Didelphidae
Description: lncRNA (ENSMODG00000049251.1)
Source: RNAcentral
AACAUUCUGGGGAGCUCUUUCAAGGAGAGCUUUAAAACCUGGGUAGCUGCACACAAUAAAUGUUCAUUAUCCCUGCUUUGAUACUGUUUCAGUUUUUCAUUCUUGCAACUCUGUAGCUGUCCCCUGACAAGUGGUGCCCGACAUGGGGUCCCCCUGUUUUUUUUGGAACCCCCCAGUUCUUUUUGGAGAACCCCCGAAUCUGCGUGCUGCUCAUGCAGAGUUCCGAUGCUAAGGAGAUGUCCUCGGUGGUAAAGACAGAAUAUGGCUCCCUUCCUGCUGAGUUUGAGAAAUUGACCAUAAAGAGAAGGACAAGGAGAGGACGCAGGAAGCCCUGGCAAGGAGAACCGACAAUGUCUCCAUAAGAUACUGACUCUUCUGCUUCUAUUUCAGAAUUUAAGUACAGCUAUCAGAAUAAAGAAAUGGGCUUUUUGGGAAUAACCACCUUGGGUAGAGUAUGUCGGCAUGGGACACGCUUUACCGGAAGUCAUCUUAUAUACAAAAAACAACUCUGGCAUUCCAGGCAUUUAUCAUUUUGAAGGACCAUAUAGGGACAGCAAUCAGGCCAAUCAUUUGUUUGUUUCUUUCAAUUGGACUGGACUAGCUGAGACACCCCCAGCGUGCCUCGCACAAGACCAUCCUGAAUGCCUGCCCCUCAGAUCUCUGCAGGCGCAUUAUUAUGGUCAUCCUGACCUGUCAGACUCUUUCUGGAUAGGACCUUAUCACAUAGACAAAAAGGAUUCAGCUUGCCUUUGUGGGUGACGCCCCCAGAGCUAAUUGGUUACAUUCUGCUAAUUUCACACAGAUUUUGACUGAUUAUGGAAAGACAGCCCUGGCAUUGGAUAAAGUAAAUAUGUCUCAUUAUGUUAAUGUUACUUAUGAUAGAAAAGUCCAAAAACCAGUAAAUAGAAGUGUUACAUUAGACAUUCAAGCUUUCCUAACUGGAAUAUGCUUUUAUAACUACAGUAAAAGAUCAUCCUGAAGCAUUGAACAUUACUGAAAUAACACACAAAGGAGUUAGAUAUUGGAAUAUAACCUGCAGCAAUUGUAGGGUCAGUCAUUGUGUAGGAUCACAAGGGAAUGGGCUGGUCUUAAUCAUCAAGCUACCACACAUGGCCAUAUGGUAGUCCAGGGGAUCAAAUUCUUCAUGUAUUACAACAAAAAAUAACACAACGACGUAAACAAUGUAUUACUUGUAUUGCAUUAGGCAUAGUAGCAUUAGUUUCUGCAUUGGCUUCUACUAUAAUAGGUUCUGUAUCUUUGGCACAAUCAGUUUCUAACUUACAUACUCUUGAACAUGAUGUCAAUUAUUUGAAAGCAUUGGCUGCUAAUAUAACCUCAGCAUUAGAAAGACAAAAAGAAAUUGAUAUAAGUUUUUACAAAAGUAUUAUGAUGUUAUAGAAAAAUAUGAUUGACCUAAUGAAUGAAGUAGAAUAUUUGUCAUUGAAAACACGCAUGAAAAGUGAUUAUAGAUAUACUGCAUUUUGCUU